UUUUUUUUUUUUUUUUUUUUAAGGUGUGUCCCGCAGGGAGUGGACCCCGCAGACUAUUCACCACCCUCAACAACUUGCUGGCAGCAAGGUUCGAACCAGGGACCUGAAGCCCCAUCUUCAGCAACCUCAACCACCAGACCAAGCCCCUGAGGGCAGUCUUUUCAUUCUUGACAAACCUUUUUUCAAUGUCCUGAAGGAACUUUUUAGCGGUUACAGUCGUUUCUGACAUUGUUCCCCUGAAUGCUUUUGAAACGGCCUUUUUAAUGAUCAUCAGACACAAGCGAUUUGAUCUCUCCCACCUCUCAUUAUUUCUCUUUUCAUCAGAGGUACUCUGAUCUGUAAGAGGUGAGGGAGAAUCGUCCCUUAACGCAAGGUCGAGAUCCAUUACUCCAAGUACUAUCAAGAGAUUUUCUUUCCAGGACUUGAAGUUUGUGCCAUUCAGCAUAGGAAUGUUAUUGAUGUUGGCAGUAAUAUUUGUAAGAUCAUUUGCAACUAAACAGAAAACAUAAUAUAAUUAAAACAAUGCUCACAUAAACCAAAAUAAUAAUAAAUUUAAAUAAUGGUAACCCCAUCUCAAGAUAUCGAUAUUCCAUUAAUAUUUUAUCUUUGGACAAAAUAUUAACUUCUAAGUGAUAUCUUGGCGCAGUAAUAAACACUGACAAUAAUAACAUGUCAAAAAAUAAAUUUUCCUUUGGACCAAUUUAUAAUUCACAUGUAAAAGCCGAAUAAUUAUCACAUGUUUAUUACCACAAGUGCACAUGUAAUUUCAUUAAAUAUUGACCUUCUUUUGGGCCGAUCAAUAUUCAUAAAAUUACUAGUACCCAACCAGUUAUAUUUUAAAAUAAAUUAAUUUUCAUAAUAGAGGUCACUUUGGUGGCAUAUUAUUUCCACUAAUUUAUUCCAAAAUAUAUAUAAUCAUACCAAUAUUCAAAUUUAAAAUUAUCCAAAAUAAAUGAAAAUUUUAAUCAAAGUCAACUUUGGUCAACUUUGGUCAAAACGUGGUCAAACAUGGUGAAAUCAAUUAAAUUGAAUCAUGACUUAUUAGACCAAAGGUCCAUAUCCAUAAUUUGACCCAAAAUUAUCAUUCAAGCCCAAAAUUUCUUGAAAUCCAUAAGUACUUUAUAAAAUUAUAUAUAUAAUGGGCCACAUAUAUGGAUUUUAUAGGGCUUAAAUGUCCUAUUUAACUUUAUUAGGGUUCAAUUAAAUUAAAGAACCUCUAAUUUUCUUAACAUAAAUAUAUUGAAAAACGGUGAAUUGGCCAAGCAAAAGUGCAAAACAUCGAAGCCAAUAACCAUGAUUUGACCAUCAUGGAACCUUGGUCCACAUUUGUUCACAAAUUCACACAACAAUCAUCAAAAGUAAAAGGCACGUGAAUGACAUAAGCAAACAAGAAGUCUGGAUUCAUUGGCCAUGCAUCAGAACAAAAGUGAUUGCAAAUCUAACAAUCCGUGAACUAAAAAUUGUUAACAUGAAAUAAAAUUAACUUGUCCAUAAUGGUGGAGGAAAGGACAAAACACUUCCCGUGGCCAGAGGACAAAUUAGAUUACAUCAUCACUUGAUUCAUGUUUUAAGUAAACAUAAGGUGAAAAUCGUAUGAAGACUUAUGUCUCAAAAGCAUUGAGAUUGUUGGAAGAAUUUGACCGAAGGCCAAAAGUAUCACAGUUCUGACCAUGAAUUUGACCGAAGACAAAAAACACAUAAAUUGCAUCAAACUAGCAGUUCAUGCCUAUUAACUUACGCAAGCACUCAUGAACAUAAAAAAUCGUAUGAAGACUCAUCCAACAUGGGACCAGAACCCACAGUUUUUUUUUUUUUUAAUGAAUCAGAGGCCGAAAAACCAAAAGGCAUGCGUGGGUUCUCAAUCAGCUGUCAGCAAUUAUAAAAGGGAUGCAAUUAUCAAACCAUCAGCAACCAAAGCUUGCAAAUCACUAAAUCAGCCGUACAAAUUUACUACAAAUUACUAAAUCCAAAUUAUUUCCUAAUAAUCAACCAUAUGGGCUCUGAUACCACUUGUUAGGGUGGUUAUCUAAAUCCAACCACUGGUGAAAACCAUCACCUUUAAACCCAAGAUCUGUAUGGCGAUUAUUAAGAAAUAAAUUAACUGUAAAAUAGCGGAAGCGUACCUGAAUCCAUAUUGAUAAACUUGAUACUUGAAUCCCUUAGAUAUUUGGGGUAGCCUUCCAGGUCAACAGGUAUUCACCAAUCCUUUGAGAGAGGCCUUUAGUUUCUCUCUGGUAUCUUUCCUGACGAUGGGAUAUCAGGGAAGGGCUGUUUUGUGGUAUUAGAAAAUACGACAACUAAAACGAUACCUGUGACCUGGGGACUAUAACCCUAUUUAUAGGCAACAUUCCUGUUAUCUUUUGGAACCCUAUUUCAGCCCAUCAUUGAAAUAGGAGCCCAUAAGUUUCUACACAUUAAAGGGCCCACAUCCUAUUAAAUACAUUAAACCCAAACUAUAUUUGAUCACUUUAAUUGGGUUUAACCUUAAUUGACAGUUUGCAAUACAUAAUUAUUCACAUAUAAGUCCAAUGUUGGAUUAAGGAUCCAACAACCAUCACUUCUUAUCACAUGUAUCCUGUGAGUUUCUACAAUGGCCGUAAAUAUGCAACAUAAUGCUGAGCAUAUUGUAGCUAAUGCAAUUCCAGUUGCUGAUGCAUACCUUCUUCCGACUGCCACUUUCAUACAAUUGUACACACUUUUAAAACCCAUCUUCGCUGCUUCAUAUAGCAACAUAAGGGUUGAAUCAGGAAACUUCAAUUUCCCAACCUUGUAAUUCAGGUGGCUUGCUUGCUCUACGAAGUAUGUGUUUCCUACGGAAGUAACUACAGAACAAAUUAUGCAGGUGAUCCAAACUGGAAGCAUACAGAUUCUGAUCCGUCUUUCUUGACUUUGAGUCCUGAAUCUGAUAAUAUCCCUGUCAGAGAACCUAAGCAAAGCAAGAGAACAGCAAAAAAUUCCUAUGGUCAGAAGUUUCAUUAUCUCUUACUUGAGAACAAAGAAAUAGAUCUGUAUUUGAUUUAUGGAACACCCGACACUCUAUUCCUUUUCAAGUGAAAGUUGAAAAACAGGGAAGAAGGGCAAAAAUUAAGACUAUGAUCAGGAAGAGGAAGAUGAAAAAGGAAGGAUGUGUGGGAUGAACCCAAGUCUGCUGCCCUGGUAUUCGCAUGAACCCUGAAUGAAAAGAAGUGUUGCCGCCAGUGUGAAAAUUGCUGGAAUUCCAAACCGAAGUUUCCAUGGCUGUAUGUAUGGGAGUGCAAUUAGUGCAAUAACUGCGACAAUGUGCACAAAGAUAACGCCUAAUGAUCUUAGGCCAGAUAUGCCGCUUCCGUUUCUUUGGUUCUGUCUCUUAACAAGCUCCAUCAUUGCUUCUACUGGUUUAAACUGAAGUUUUGAUAUAUCCUCUUCAGGUUGAGGGCUUUGUUGCCUGUUGCUUGUUUUAUCAACAACUUGACUCCCUUCAAGCUGAUCCAAUGCAAAUGCAGCUAAUGAGACAAUGUGCCCACCCACUCCAACAGCUGUCAACGCCAGACCUGUGUAAAAGAUAGCCUUCUGUGUGUGACCAAUGCAAUUAGGCUGGUAAUUAGCACAGGUGUGCGUUAACUUGUGCAGUGCUGGUGGCGUAGACAUUGAUAGAAAACCCAAGCCCUGCUCAUAAUUUUGGAUAAUCAGUUCAAGAAAGUCCGGUAAAACUGGAAGCUAUACUUCUAUCAAGUUAGGCCGUGAAAUUGAUGACUAAAUGGAAGGAGGGGAGGAAGAACUGUGAAUGAAUUUGCCGACAGGAGAACUUACAGAGGAAAAGGCUAUACUCGAGAGAAGCAGUAUCCAGUAGUUAUCCACUCCAAAGUCCCCAAAUAAGAAAAGAAUAAAAGGGACCAAUUUAGUUAGGCCAGUAUAUACAUUCAUUAUUCCUGCAGCAUGAGUAAACCCAACUUUCCAAACAUCUGUUAAGUACUUCUGCAUUAUCCACGUCACGUAAGUCUCCAACAAAUCAGCCCAUAUUAGAACUGUUAAGACAACAAAAAAAGGAGUUAGCAUUAAGUAGACAAGAAUGAUUGUUCAAGCAGAGGAAGUUAAAGAAUGACAAGGCCUUUGAUGACUCUGAGAUGAAUUAAAAGUACCCAUUAUUCUGACGAAUGCCAUUGAUUUUUCGAACUUCUCGUUGAAAUCCUGAGUGUGAGAAAAAUACUAUCAGAACAAGGGAAGCUGACGAUUAGAGCAGUUUCAGAACCAUAUGGUGGCCAUAGCAAGCUGAAAGAAACCAGAGUUAAUAGUUUGGAUUGAGGUUUUCUUUAAUUACCUCCAACUGCUAUGUGUGCUGCUGGUCUGCGAGGGAAAAAGAGAGACGGAGAAACUUCUCUGCAAUAAGUCGUUGUUAGAAAAUUGGUUUAAUUUCUUUUAAACAGAUUCCUAAUUCCUUGUUUUGUGUGAAAGUAACUAGAUUCCUAAUUGAUUUUAGUUACUUAAAGUAGUAGUUAAGGAAUUUCCUAUGUGUAUGAGUUUAGGAAAAGAAGUUAUUUCCUAUUCUAAAUCAGUGUAGGAAUUAGCAUUGAUUUCCUAUUGUUAUUUGGAUUUUGUCCAAAUAAUGUUCCUUAUAAAUAGGUGAGUUAGCAUACUACAUACAAGGGCACACAAGGGGCGACAUGUAGCCUUAUACAUGGGUGGUGAAAGAGGGUUCUUGGGAGAUGAGAGAUGAUAUGCAAGAAUUGGGUUUGGGUUCAAGUUGUAUUAUUGUAUAGAGUUUUUCUCUCAUAAUAAAGAACGAAUUUCUCUUCGUAGAUGUAAGUUUAAUGGUGGAGUCAAAUUAUGUUAAAUAUUAUGUGUCGUUUAUCUUUCAUACUUAUGGCAUUUUAUCAUUAAAUUGUUGUAUACUUGAUAUUCCAAUGGUUGUUUAUUCCGCACUUGAAUCCUAACAAGUGGUAUCAGAGCUUGAUUGUGAGACUGGGUUGCUCACAAGCACUUGAAUCCCAACCAACUAAAUGGUUGGAUCAAGAGUUUGGUUGUUCAAGGUUGGAUCCUGGUUAACUAUUGAGAUCAAGUAGAUUGGUGGUUGUUACCAAUUGAACAAUUUAAUGGGUGGUAUUCUUAUUUCAAGAGUUUGGUAAGAAACAUUGAAAGUGAAGAAUAGAAAGUCGAAAAGCAUGGAGAUACUUGAUAGUGAAUCUAUGCAGGUGAUUUAAGAGUCAAGAAAAAGAUGGAAUCCAAUGUCGAUUUUUUAACAUAAAUCGUUGGGUUGAUAUCUGCUUCGUAUGCUGUCUGUCCUUCAACUGUAUAUCUAUUAGUCUCCACUAGGGGUGAGCAAACGGUACAAAUUCGGUAAUUCGGUUAGCUGAAUUCGGUGAAUUCGGUUAUUUGACUUAUAGAAAUCAAAAAUACUUUCAAUUUUGAAUUGGUUAUAACCAAAUUCAUUUCGCAACGAUUUCGAAUUCGGAAAUGGUAAUGAAUUCGAUCUAACCGAAUUCAUUUAUAAAAAAAAAAAAACUGAUGAGAUAACUCUGUUAUGGUCCUGAAGGAAGUGAUUGUGUAAUUUUUAAUUUACAAAUUGGGGUUCCUAAAUUAUAAUACAUUCAUUAUGCUCCUCAAUGAUUUAAAACUUAUUACUGAUUUGAUCCUCGAAUUUAUUCAUAAUUUAACACAUUACUUAUGUUCUAAUCAUUUUGUGGUUUAAUUGGCAUUUAUUUGAUCACUUAUACCUAGAAUCCUUAGUCUAUGAUUUGAGGAACACAUAAAAAGUGAUUAAUUUAAACUAGAUUAAACCUUAGACUGUACAAUGAUUAAUGAUAAUUUAUGAAUUUAUAAUUUGCAAUGAUUAAUAAUAAGUAAUAUUAGUUACAAACUUACAAAUUACAAUGAUUAGUGAUAAGUUAUAUUAGUUACAAACUUAUAAUUUAUUUUAAAUCAAAAUAAAACUUAUUUACUUACAUAUGUUAUUGUGAAAGUCAAUACACUAAUACAUUGAUUUACAAUUCAUAUGCAUUCACUUACAUUACUUAGUUGUCUUGUCUAUACUUAAAACCUUAAGAUUAGUGAGUAGAGAAUAUGAAUUUUUAUGUUAAAUAUGUAAUGUAAAUUUAGAGCAUACUAAUACUUGCAAGUUACAGGUUACGCAUUCAAAUAUUCAAUAAUUCAAACAUGAAUGAUGUAUCAAAUUACCAAUAUCUAAAUUUCCAAUUACUAAUUAUGUUUAUUGUUUAAUAUUUAGUAUUAUACAUAUAUGUAUUAAUUAUUAUCUAAUUCUAGUCAUGUUACUCAUGUAUAAAAUAAUAAGUAUUAUAGUUAUGGUAUAUUGUUAUGUAUUACUAUAUAUUUGUAUUAUUAUAGUCAUAUAACAAUUAACAAAUACUAAAAUAUAUUGUACAUUAUUAUAAGUACAUGAUAAUACCAUGUACUAACUAUUAUUAAUAGCAUUUACCUAUAUAAUAUAAUAUUUUUUUUAGGGGUGUCCCGCAGGGAGUGGACCCGCAAGACUAUUCCCCACCCUCAACAACUUGCUGGCAGUAAGGUUCGAACCAGGGACCUAAGUCUCCAUCUUCAGCAACCUCAACCACCAGACCAAGCCCCUGAGGGCACCUAUAUAAUAUAAUAAUAUAUUAGUACUAUAUACUAAUACUAAAUAGCAUUUAUCUAUAUAUUAUAUAAUUUUAUAAAUUAAUUUGGUAUUCGAAUGUGGUAAUGCAUUUCAUUUUACCGAAUUUGAAUGCGAAAUCGGUUAUUACCAAAUUCAUAAUCUCAUUACCUAUUUCAUAUCAUAUUAGAAUUCGGUGAAUUCGGUACCGAAUUUGUAUCAAAUUACCUAAUACCCGAUUUCAAAUUACCAAAUUGCAUUUGAAUUCGGUAUGUACCGAAUUUGCUCACCCCACUCUCCACUGUCUUAUUGCAGCUUUGCUCAUGACUAUCUUGACUCUGUGGCCUCAUCUACAGCUGCACUUCCUUUCCUUCAAAGCCCAUCCUUCUAUUGUUUCAAAUGACACAACAUCGUAGCGUUGGAUAAUUUUAUAUGCGCUCAUAGUUCACAAAUUUGAUACAUUGAAAUUUGAGACCACCAACUGUGUGGCUCCAAAUUUGAACUUUUAUUGGGCUGGUCCAGUUUGCUUAGUAAACAGAAAGUUCGCCUCUCGCGAUUUACAAUCCAUCUAUUUGUCUAUUAUCAGCUAGGAAAAAUGACUUGUCUCGUCCUUUAUAUUUUGGUGAAAAAUUAAUUUUAUUGUUUACUUUUAAUAUAAAGUAAAUUAGUCCCUCAUAUUUUAAAGUGAACCAAGUUAGUCUCAAAAUAACCUGAUAUAGUCAUAUGGAUCUUACACUUAAUCAACAUAAAAAGAAAAUAAAUUUAAAAUUAUAACAUAAAUUACAAUCCAUUUUUUCUAAAAAAAAUUAAAAAUUUUAAGAAAAUGACAUUAAGCUAACGUAGAAAGGAAAAAAAAUUAAAAUUCAUAUCAUAAAAGAAACCCCCAAGUUACAAAGUUUUAUAACUAAAAAAUUUUUAACUUUUUUUUAUAGAGAAUGGUUUGUUUUAGAUGUUAUAAUUUUUAAGUUUUCUCUUUUUUAGAGAGAAUAGUUUGUUUCAGGUGUUAUAAUUUUAGUUUCUUAAGAGAUAAUUGUUUAUUUUUUAUGUUACAAUUUUUAAUUUUUCCCUUUUUAUGUUGACUUAAUAAAAUUUCCUAAUGAAGUUUUAAUUUUUAAUUUUUUAAAAGAAAAGGGUUUUUUUGUUAUAAUUUUUAAUUUAUUUCAUUUUUUAUAUUGACUUAAUCACAUGUGCAUAUCAAACAUAGUUAGAUUUGGAAGAAAUUAAAGUGACUGUUUCAAUUUCACCCGUAAAAUCUAUAUCAGGUUGUCAUUUUGGGACUAACUUGCUUCAUUUUUAAAUAUGAGAAACUAAUUUGAUUCAUUUUAAAAAUGUAGAACAAAAAACAUUUUUUCCAAGAUGUGAUGAUUGAAAUUCAUCAGACCAUCAUAUUGACUUAGAAGAAAAUAAGAUGAAGGCAAAAGGUUAAUUGAUGAUUGAAGUUCACUAUAUUAUUGAAUGAAGACGGAAAAAAAAAGAAGAAAAAGUGGUUACGGAAAUGAAGGCAAAGCUGAAAACAGAAAAGAGCCCCAAUAUGCUCUGGAAUAUGAGGUGCGAUUUGGGGAGAAGGGGUUUUUGUCGAUGGUGUAGACAAUAUGCGUUUCCUUUUUUACCCACAAAUAAAGAGCAAGAUUAUACCACUCUUUCCACCCAAAAAAAAAAAAAAAAAGAAAAGAGAAACCACAUACACAGACACUCAAUUUUAUUUUAUUUUUACAGUCCUAAUGAAACUUUUAAUAACUGCCAAUAGCUUACUAUCUUCGAAAAAGCUUAGUAUCUUCUGAAAAAAAGGAAAAAAAACUCUCAUUUAUAGGCCUCAUAAAACCCUCCAAUACUUGCCAAUUGCCAUUGCUUUUUUUUUUUUUUUGUGUUAAAGGUUUUCUUCCCACUACAGCAAGUGGUUCUUGGAUGAACCCAAAUUUUGUAGGAGGCAAGAGGCUUGGGCCAAGAUAGGACUCGUAUAAGGACUUAAUGGGCAACACUUCUGUAGGUGAUUGGAGUGAUGGCUAAUAGAAUGACAAUCGCCAACUAAUCAUUGCUGUGUGAAAAAUGUCCUUUCCGCUUUAGUAUUAUACUAGUCUGGGGGCUGCGCCAUCCGCAGGGUAGGCAAAUGUAACCCCUGUUAAUAAUUUGUGUUUGUCUAGUAAUAUUUUGUAAAGUUUGUUUUGUAAAUAUUGAUGUAGGAAAUAAUUUUAUAAUAUGUAAAAUAAUUGUGAGCUAGUUAUUUUUGAAAAUUUAGAGAACAAUGCAACCAAGUAAAUAUAACAUACAUGUUGAAUGAAGGGAAAGAUAAAUGGCAUAACUGGAAAAUAAGGCACAACUAAGGCUAAACUAAUACACAUGAACAGCUAAGGUGUCCCAUCUCUGCGGCAACAAUGAUGCAAAAUAAAGAGGAACAAAGAACAAAUAAAAUUACAAAGGAAUCAACCAACUAUAGCAUGCAUCUUCUAGCGUCCUGAGUAAGGGAGAAACAGCAAAUGGCAUUACCAAAAAAUAAGGAACUAACUAAGGCUAAUGCUAAUCACAUGAGGAACUAUCAGGGAACCGAUGCAAAUGGACCGCAAUAGCCCAAAAAUAUCAAUCAAUACCGAAAUAACCAACGGAUACACUUUUACUGUUCAUUCAGCCAACUCUCACUUUUAUAUAGUUAGAUAGAUUAGAUUAGAUUUAGAGAAUUGUUAACGGCACUCUAUCUUUUUUGCUAGUGACAUUUCCAUUAUUAUUUUUAACAUAUGAUAUUUAUUUAUUAGACUAUAUGAUAAGUAAAAGAUGGGAAUGCGAUUAACAAAUAGUGAAGUGUGUUAAUAUUUCCCUUGUAUUUAACGGAUAACUAGAGUUUAAUACAUUAAACUUUGUCGUGCUUUAUGAGUAGUGACCUUUAAAUGUAGAAAAAAAUGUAUUGUUCUUUAGUACACUUAGUGAUGAUUAGAAAGAUAAAAACUUAGUGCUAAUAUGUAUUUUUAGUGAUAUUGUACAUAAAAGCGUGUUAAGGCAAAUUCUUAAAUUUUAGUUUCAUGGACAUAUACCCACAUUACUUUACUUCAAUCAAAAUUACAUAAUCAUCAAUCAUCACAAUCAACGCACUUUCAAAUACAAUUUGCAAGAGAAAUUUUUUUCCCCAUAAAUUUCUUAAUAAACUGUGUCAAGGGCAAAAUUUUUGAAUUUAACGGAAGAUAUUUCUUUCUUGUUAUAUGAGAUAAAUGUACUUGAUAAAUUUCUUUUUUUAUAUUAUUGAAAGGAUCUAUCACAUUUGAGAUCAAGUGAAGGUGUGUAUUUUAUUUUAUAUGUGUUUAACUUAGCCAAAGAGUCUCUUUCUUGAGUAAUUUAGUACAGUCAAUUUGUUCAAAAUGACAUCAUAUUUAUAUUAUGGAGUUAUAUAUGACUGUAGACAAUGGAAUUUUAAUUAAAUUCUAAAAAUUACCAUUGGUCUAUAAAAUAUUUUUAUCCAAUCGGAUAUUGCCAUAUGGCAUGUACACUUGGAAAGUUUGGUUAUUAAAUAGCCAAUUAUAUUCCUCCACGUGUCAAGUUGAGGUGUUCCAAACCAAUUCAAAUCGCAGGGGUAUCUUCACCAACCAAAUCAUAUCAUAUCACAUACCUAUUGGAUAAAUAUCUAAGUAUUUAUUUCUUAUUAAAGGGAUAAUAUUUAGAGUUAUUUAAUCCAAGUAUAUCUCUUAUAUACUGCAAUGGCCUGGCCAGUAAAAUAGCGCCACGUCACGUGUCCCCGCAAGUCUAGCCAAUCGAGAAAUUACUUAUCUCUUUAUUAAUGAAGAGAUAAUAUUUAACUAGCACAGUCCUAAUAUGACUGUACGUCUUGCUAGGCAAGUAGAGUGGUGUACAUGAUUUCAACCUCCACCUCUUGCUACAACUAUAAAUAGAGGUCUCUCAACCAAGUUAAGGGGACACAGAGAUAUCAAGAAGCAUCUCAUACACUCAAGUAUUGAAGCUUCAAGCUACGAAGGUCUGGGUCUCAAAGCUCCUCAAGUCUUCCGCAUAUCAAGGCUUGAGCCUUCAAGUAUUUUCAAAUCCUUCAAAUCUUCCAUAUCAAGAUUUGAAGGAGUCGGUGGUUGAUCCAAGAACAAGCUGCGAAGCCCUUGGAUUGGUGUUCGAGGAGAAGAAUCGAAGGAAGCUCUCCAUAAGUUCGAGAAAACCCCAGAGAUUGUACCUACAUAUUUUUCUAAAUUUAUAUAUCAUACAUUUGUCGUGUAUUUUUCGUGUCGUUUUGCAGACUUGAAAUUUUUAUCGCGUACAAUGACAUGUUGCGAAAAGAAAAGAAAAAGUUGGCUAGUAACAUCUUGAAAACAUAGAAUGUAAAAGAAAAGGCCAUAAAUAAAAUACUUUGUUUUGUUGUGAAACUAUAUCUAAUCUCUGUUAGCAUUCAUCAACUUUAGAAUAACGUAGCUUGGAAUUUAAAAUGGUGCUAUUAAAAUCAUGUUAACACUUUGAAUAAAUUAUAAAUGAGCUCCCCUAUUGUUUAAUGCUCGUUUGUAUAAUCCUUUACUAGUUACAAAAUCAAUAAAUGACCUCCACUACUUGAGCUGCUGGAAGUCAUCCCCUGCAAAGAAGUCACUGAAAAUGUCAAGGCUACCCCAUUAAAAGGCGCCACAAAAAUUCUGAAGGUCUCUAUUUUCUUCCAUUGGCUUCUUAGUUUCUACUUUCUAUUACAAAGGUAUUAGGGAGGACAACUUCCAAUAGUUUGAUACUUUCGAAGGGUCUACGUGUAACUUUUGAAACAUAAGAGAUCGUGUGAUAAACUUUAAAUUGCAGUGAUUUAAAAAGGUAGGUUCCAUUAGUUUGAUACUUUCAAGGGGGUUGCACGUAAUUUUUUGAAAUAUAAGAAAAUCAUGUGAAAAAACACUAAAUUAUAGAUCAUUAAAAAAAUUUACCCCUAAUUCUUUCUAAUAUGGUAAAUACACAUUGAAUCAUUCCAUAAGCUCUUACACAUGCACUGAAAGAAAAAGGGGGCAAGGUGGAGAGGAAAUUUAAUGACACAAAACCCCCUAAUGUUUUGCGGUAUUAACACUUUCCUACCCAUGACAAAGAGAUUCUAUGCUCUGCUAUUAUAACUUUUGAAACACACACAACAAUUGCUGAUUAUGUCAACUGGUUAGUUUUACAUAUUAUCGUCUCUUGAAUGAAAACAAAGAAGAUGCUUGAGAUUAGGACAAAUGGGAAGAACUCCAGCUUAUGUAAUGUUAAGCAGACUGUAAAUUGACCAUUUCAUUUGCGCCUCACAACAUCUGUUUCUGAUUGUUGGGACUUCAGUUGUGGAAAAAAUCUAAGAGGGUUGUCGGAAUAGUGGUCUGACCCAAGAGGCACGAGAAACUAGGGCUAUCGAUCGAGCCUAAUGAGUCGGAUUUUCAUGAGCUUGAGUUCAACUCAUUUAAUUUAUAAUAUUUUUGGUCUUCGAGCUAUAAGUUUCGGGUUAAUAUAUGUGAAAUUCAUAUUUAACUCACAUAAUAUUCGGACUAUAAGCCUUAUUUAGGUUUAACCCAAGCUCACUUAUUACCUUAAUUUUCUAUCUUAAUAUAAUUACUAUAACUAUUAAGUUGUAAAACUAAUUUAACAUUUACAAGACUAUAAUAUUAAAACUAAGCACGAACAAAUAAUAAUUCUUCAAAAGUACAUAAACCAAAAAAUUUUCAACAAUAUUUAUAUUUAAUUCAUUCAAAAUACAUGAAAAAUAGUAAUAAAACAUGCGGUCAUAAGCCAAUACAUCUUUGAAAGUUGAAACUUUUUUAUAAUCUUGUGAUUUGAAUCCAAACAUGCUUGAUGAUUUGUGUUUCUAGAACAUAAAGAAAUCAACUAAUAUUAUACCAAUACAAAAAUUUACUAAACCAAUAAGAAAGGUAGAGAUUCAGUUAUGCAUUAUUAAUAUUGGCUCUGAAGAAAGCUCAUAGAAGAGUCUUCAGAUGUAUUUUUGUAAUUUGUAAUUUAUAUAUAUUUAGUAUUUAGUAAAAUUAUAUUUGGAUAUAUAAUUAUACAUAAUAUCAAAAUAUAAAUAUUAUAUAUAUAGGUAAGUAAAGGGUCGGGCCUAUAUCGGGUUUGAGCCUAUUGAGACCUAAAUUCGACUCAUAUUUAAUUCGAGCCUAAUUUUUAGGCUCAAUCUCAUACCGGCUCACUAAAAGGUCGGGCUAAUUGGACUUUUUGUCAAGCCGAACAAGCCGCGCACGGGCUGGCCCAGCCCCAUUGACAGUCCUACAAGAAACCAUUGUCCUUAAGGAUAAAAAUGUACCCAAAUAAUAAUAAUAAUAAUAAAUAAAAGGAAAAUGACAAUCUACUUUGACUACUUUGUUCUGCCCAUUUUCUAGUUCUUGAGAAAUAAAACGAGGACAUAUUUAUAUUUGGAAGUUUUCAAGCACAUCAAACUUAAAGGAAUUUAACAACUCAUAUAAAGGCUGUACUAUUACUUCAAAUCCUUUUCUAAUGUUAUUGAGGAUAUUUGUGUGACAUCAAUGUUUCGGUUUUAUAUUAAACAGAGAAACUUAUUGUAUUGAAUUUUCUUAUGAAACAGACUUGGAUUAGGAAGACGCUACAUAAAUGUUAAUUUGUAAAAGAGAAAAGUAAACUGAACAAGAAAUCUCAAAAACAAGAAAGCUGGUUUUAUCUCAAAAAAGAAAUGCAAAAGAAAUUUGUGUUAGGAAAUAUUCAUGAUUCUAAACUUCUAUGAACCCAACUAUAAUGAUGCGAGAAUGGAUCAAACAUCUAUUAAGUUGUAUGACAGCAUUAUGGGAAGACUUUUAAAGCAAAAUUGAAGGAAAAUUUCUUGAAUGGGUUUAUACAGGAAUGGGAGGCAGUUUUGAGGAUAAUAUUAGUUAUUUAGUCUAACUAAGUUCGACUCAAGAAAGAAAUGUGUUGUCAUUAUUAUGGCUGCCAGUGAGAUUCAAUAACAUAAUUGUGAUUGGUAACCUCUGUUUUGAAACUCGGACCGGACCGGCCGGUCGAACCGGGAACCGAUCAAGUGUCCGGUCCGAGUCAUGGUAGAAAACCGGAAAUUUAAAGCCCGGUCAAAGACGGUCAAAAAUCGGGUUUGACCGGGAAAAAACCGAUUUUUCCGGUUCAAUGGUUUCAUGUGGCCGAGACUAGUUAGUCAGCAGUCAGCACCUCGAUAAUCUAUAAAGGUGAGCGUUUAAGGUGGGACCUACGUGUCCUCGUCUCGCAGGCACCAGCUAAUUGUUAGACAAACCUGUUGUCACUUGUCAUCAGCUCAGUUUUUCUCAAUUGGCGCUAACACUACCACUGUUCGGUAGGAAUAGCAACGGGCAAAAAAAACUCAAUUUUUUCAAUAUUAUGUUUUGACCCCCUAAAUUGUUAAAACUUAUUAAUAUAUCUCAAAUAUUUCAUACUUUAUAAAUAUUGUCCUAAAAUUUGAUGUUAUUUUUCAAUUAAACUCAUAAUUUUAAUUCUAAACUUGUUAAUAUUUAUUAAAUAACAUAAAUUGCUACUUGAUUGUUCUAAUUUUUUUGUAUUUUCUUGUUAAAUAUAUUUGAAACAUCAAAUAUAUAUGAAUAUACCUUUAUUAAUAUUAAUAUAUUAUUAGAUAUUUUAUAUAUAAUAUUUUAAUUUUUAAAUAAUUUUUAUUUAUGACGUCAUCCGGUUCGACCCCUAUCGACCCCCGGUCGAACCCAUUGACCCCUGACCCCUGAUCUCGGCCGAGUCGAUAUCCGGUCCGGUUCUGAAAACAUAGUUGGUAACUCCAUUUGUAUCUCACUCCAUUCUUUCCUUUUGUUCUGACAUUGGUCAAAGGCACUAAGAAUUUUACACUUCAAUAAUAGUGCAAAUGUAUUCAUGCUUAAGUGAUUGGGAGAUGGAUAAUCUUCCUAUGGAAACUAAGAUUUACUUCUUUUUUUUUGGGGUCAUUUCUGGUGAGGGCUUCAGAAGACUACCCUGUUGAGGAUAUUGUUUGUUGAAUAUUGUUUUUGGUUUAAUUGGGUUUCCUUGGUUUGGCAUAGUAUAGUCAGUUAGAUAGGAAGCUCCAAAUUCAUAUAUUUGCAUAGGAAAACUCAGGCGAAGCUAAAAUUAAUAAUUUGAGAUUCUCCAAUUGCGUUCUCAAGUACAUGCAAGUCGAAGUUCCAAAUUCAAACUUUCCUUUGCUUCUCCAGUAGAACCAAUUUCGAAUUCCAAUCUCACAAUAUUCGCCCUUUAUCAUGAUCAUGAUACGGCCUUUUUUCUUAUGCAAUUCAAAGUUUUUUUUUUUAGCUUUACUCUUCACAGAAUCUUGAUUUAUGCCCUUUUAACACCACCAAUUUAUUGCCCCAUUUUCUCAUUUCAAUAAUGGUCGCCCGAGAAGUUGUAGGAAUGGUAAACCGGUGAUGAAAUGGAAAGUAAUGAAGAAAUCAUUUUUCCAUAUACAAGAUUUAAGUGGUUCAAAUUCGAGGAGUUUUUUUAAAGUAGCAACAGACAAUCUACUGACUCUAAAGAGAAACAGGCCUUUGUUUUGCUUAAUUUGUUGGUUGUCUUGGACCUUUCCCUUGAAAGGAACGAUCCUAAUUUUCACCACUAAAUAUUUUGCUUGUAAUAUGAGCACGAGUUUAAAUGGCGUCAUGAUCACAGGAGAUUGUCUAAGCCCGAAUGAAGACUUCAGAAUGUGGAGAUUGAAUUAAUUCAUACGAUUACUGAAGGUUUUUCAGAAGAAAUGCUGGUUUUUAAAGUAUGGAUUAUUGAAGUUCCUAACAAGAAAAGCGUGGUUUUUCCACAAUAAUACAAGUCUCAGCCAUUUCUCCUUCCUCGACCAGAGUCAUCAAAUCAAGAUUUUUAUUAUUUUUUUUAAAUAAAGGAAGGUUUUUUGCAGUCGGGAACUGGUAAACUUAUCUAGACUAGAAUAAGUGGUUAUGAAGAAAAGAGCAUUGAUAAUUAGUCUGCAUAGAAAUGGAACGCUUCCUCGACAAACUUUAGAUGCCUUUGCAUUUGCAUUUUCACUUCUCAAUUAUUGUAACUUUAGAUGCUUUUCAAUCAUUGUUUUUGCUUGGGCCUUCAUCAUUUUUUUUUUUUUUGGUUGUUGGAAAAUAUAUGAAUGGUUGUUCCACCUAAGAUAUGUCCACAACAAUGAAAUUAUAACAAAAAAAACGAGAAUUACGUGAAAUUGUUGUUUUGGCAACUUUUAUCUAAUUGGUAAGUCAUAUUAACUUAAUAUUUUUGACAUUUAUAUGUCACAAACCUUACAAAUUUGGAUGCUUUUGCAUUGGCAUUUUCACUUUAACUUUCUCAACCAUCGUUGUUUUCUGAUUGAAUGCUGGGGCCUUCAACUUUUUUGAUUGUGGACAAUAUCUCAAUGAUUGUUGCAUUCGCGAAGGACAAUUAUUAAUUUCCAAGUUAAAAUUGUUAAAAGCAAAAUAAGAACUAUAAUUGCUCUUUGGAAACAUUAAUUUCAUUAGUUUAUCCUUGGAAAAUGAACUUGAAAUAUACUUUGGUCUUAAUUAUUGGUCCUCAAGAACUCGAAUUAAAAUAGACAUCUUAUUUUCUUUGGUUUUCUCAAGAGUUGGGGGCGACAAACCUUAUUUGGAUUGUAUAUAUGAAAUUAAUUGACUCGACAAUUUUACAUUGAGUAUUUUCAUUAGCCAAAAACUAAGUUAUGUUUUGCAAACAUAUAUGUUAUGUUUUGCUUUUUGGCUCAAUAAUCAGGCUUGUUAUUUUAAAUUAACAAAUAAUUAUUAGGCCUUCUAAAUGAUUAUAAUGGGGCGGAUUUGUCCAAAAAGCUCCCCUGCCCCCGCCCCGAUACCUCGCCACCCUUACUCGCGCCCCAAACCCACUCCAACUUCUAUGAUUUCUUGGCCGAAGGACACAUAUCAUGUUUGUCAAAGAAGUCCAACUGCCAAUUCAGGCCGACUGGCAAGAAAAACGCUCUAUCAAUUUGAUUCUAGCCCAAGCCCCAGUAAACCAAGAAAAGUAGAUAGCCAUUGGUGUUCACCCAGUGAAAUGCAAAAUCGGAUCCUGGAAAAUCUGAAAGAAGAAGAAACAAUGAUUCCAUUGCUUAAACCUCAAAGCGAUUUUCUGUGCUCAGACAUACUAUGGUAUAAAGCUUCAUUUCUUUUACAUAAAAGUCAUUAUUUUCCUUUGUUAGCAAAUCAGCAAUAAAACUGAACUCUCCCUCCAAGAUGCCUUUACACAUUGGCAAUUCCAGCUAUACAUAUGGCGGCUGGUCCUGAAGAAGUCGAAUAAUACAAAUUGAAUGCCACGAAUUGCUGAUCCCAAUACGCAUGAAAGAUGAAUUAGAUGGCAAUCUGAGGCAAAUGAAUACGCUACCAGCUACAUGUAAGGCGGUGAAAUUGGAUAGAAAUUUCAACCCAUAGAACCAACUAGCACAAGUAGCAGAAAUAUGAUGAAGGAAGCUGGACUGCGACACACACUUAAUAAGCAUCACAUAAUCUAAUUCUUAAAAACUCUUGCAAAAUGGCAAACCCAAGAAAAUCUUGUGCAAAAUAAGGCGUGACAGUCUGAUUGAUGCGAUACCAAAGUGAGUUUAUCAUUGCGAUUCAACCAGGAACUUGACAUUAGUUUCAUUAAGUUAGCAGAGAAGAUAAUGAAGACUGAAGAGCAGAGCCAAUCGAAACUCUUAAAAUUGAGAACUAUAGGUCAAGGCUUCAUUAAACAGGUGAUUGGAAAUGGACAGAAAACCAACUUUUGGUGUGAUCGAUGGCACCCUCUGAGAACUUGCUUUUCUGCACUUCUCUGAGAACUUGCUUGCUGGCUUCAAUCCAUCGAAGUCUGAUCCUGCAGCAAAAUGUUUCUGUGACGGUGCUUGGAAAUGGCCUAGUGGGAGGAAGUCUAAUGUGGAAGUUAGAAGGCUUCGACAGCUCACUUCUUGUCAACCAGCUCUUAAUCCAAAGGAGAGAGAUGUCGCUGUGUGGGCACCCUGCAACUCAGGCGUGUAUAAUGUCAAGUCUGCUUUACAAAUUCUUAGGCUUGCAUCACCUGAAGUCCCCAGGUACAUGCUGGUAUUGGGACAAGGGAUAAAUCCCUAAGUUCUCUUUUAUUCCAUGGGUGCUGUGUAGAAAAAGGCUGAACACUAAAGACAGAAUGAGGAAAUGUGGUUCUUUUGCAUGCUCUGUAUCAGCAGCGGUGUGGAGUAAAGUUCUGUCCAUGUGCCUGUCCCCUAGGAGGCCCCAACUGUGGUCUUCAGAACUGUCCUGGAUAUGUGAACAUUGGAAAUCCCCUUCGCUCAUUGACAGGUUUCGCAGAACAGCCUUGGCUGUCUCAACAUACUACAUCUGCAAAGCAAGAAAUCUGGUGAUCUUCCAAUAGGAAACAGUAACCUCCACGGGUAUAGUUGCCGAAAUUAUAGAUACUUCUAGACACUAGUAAUAGUUCACGUGCUUUGCACGUUAUUGUAAUAUCUUAAAAUGUAUUAUUCUUUAGAUACUAAAACUUUUUUAUGAAAUUUUGAUCACCAACAUCAUAAUAAUAAUAUUUUUAUAUUAUUUAUUUUUUUAAGCUAGUUACUUUUAAAAUUUUUAUUAAAUGAAAAGAGACAGAAAACAUUCCAAUGUAGUUGACAUAUCGUUUAGGAUUAAAUUUGAAAUUAUGACCCAAACACUUUUUAAUUUAUAACUUGAACUCUAACAUAUCAAAUAUUGAUAAUAUCAUGUUUUACCAAAAUUAUUGUAUAUUCAUGAUUCUAUUGCAUAUAAACUACAAUCAUCACAAUUGUUUAUAAAUGAAGAAUAUAAUUAAGUUAGAAAAUUAAACAUACAUGUAAUUUGAAUUCUUUGUAUUAUAUUAAUUUAGAGGUGGCAAUUUGUCCCAAGUCCCAAUGGGUUACCCAUGCCCAUGGGGACUUUGGGCGGGAUGGGUACUGAAAUUUGAUAUUGGGUUUAAAAUGGGACAAAUCCCAAUUGUACCCAUUAAUUGAUGGGAAAUCUUGGGAACUACUUGGGUACCCAUUGGGCUCAAAAAGCAAGGGCUCCGUUUGGAUUAGUUAUUUUUGGGGGGUGUUUUUGAAAUAUUUUAUUGUAGUAGUGUAUAUGAAAAAUUUUUACUAUAAAUUUUUUUUUUGAAAUAUUUGAUAUACUAAUAUAGAUGGGAUAUUUUUUGAAUUAUUGUAUAUUACUGUAAUAUUGUAUUUGAAAAACUUAUUUUUUGAAAAAAUAGCCAAUCCAAACGGAGUCUUAGAUUCAAAAAUUAUCUUUAACAAUUUUUAUAGUCAUACUAACGAAUAUAAUCUAGUAGUCUUCCUAGUCAAUAUCCACAAGAAUUUCCAGCAUUUCAGUCAAUUUAGACCUGUCAUCCUUGGACAAUGAUGAGAAUAAAUAUUCAACACCCUGAGUACCUUGACCAUCUUGAUAUAUGUUGGAAUAUGGUUGUAUAUCUAUUUUUUCCUUUAUUUGUUAAUCCAAUUUUUGGCGGGAAUCUUGAGUAUAAAGUACUUGCAUGUUUAUUUAAUAAAACUAAAAGAAAUUUAAUAAAUAAAAAAUAUUAAAUUUAUAUAAAAAAUAAAAAAUGAAUUAAAGGAAAAAAAAUAGGUAGAAAAUAGAUUUGGGUAUUGGGCGGGAUCAAUCUAAACCCAUCCCAAAGUGAUCCCGCCCAAGUUAGUCCCAAAACACGUAUGGGUAAGGUUGGGCCCAAACCCAUAUGACUCGAUUCCAUCUCAAACCCAAUCAAAUCCCGCCCAUCCCGCCCAUUUUGCCACCUCUAUAUUAAUUCUAUUUUUGUCAAUAAUGGAGUCAAAAUGAUCCACCACGUAAAGUUUUUUUGGUUUGUACAUUCUAACAAUUGAAAUUUUAUAGAUAGAGAUAGUUGAAGUUUUUUCUAUUUUGCUUUUCUUUUAUUCAUGUUUUUAGCACAAUCCAAUGCGAAACAAAAGCAACAAGUCUACUUUUUUCAUAUAAGCACAAUAUUUUUGGUUUUAGUAUUAGUUUUUUCUAUGAUCAUGGAAUUGGAAUGAGAAUUGUGACCAAUUAAUAAUUUUAAUAUUAAUUUUUUGGUGUUUUAUUUUUUAAUUGCCAACUUUUAAUCCAUAACCGCUAUCAUUAUUAUCAAUUAUUGGAAUGCACUAAAUAUGUCUAAUUACAAUUGUCACCAUAAAUGAAAUUUACUUAAUUUUAAAGCUUUUCAUUUCAUAACCGCUUCCAUUAUUCACUAAUAUUGCAAUACAAUAAAUAUAUGUAAUCAUUAGAAAAAUAAGGGUAGUUUGAACAUCACCAAAAACAAUUUGGAUAUCAUUUCCAUUUUAUCAUUCUUCAUUUUAAAUUUACCCUUAUUAUAAUUCUUAUUUUAUCAUUAGGGAUGACUUCUGACUUGAUGGAUGGACUUGGUUUGCUCAAACCAAUAUUGUUUGUCUUCCCCGAGAUCAGAGUCAUUUUGAUGUUGUCUUUGGUAUUAUUUGAAUUGUAUUCUAGUUUUUUAAUUCAUUUGCUAUUUACUUUAUGUCAUUUUAUAAAUAGUUUACAAUUUUUUUUCAAUUUUUUUUGAUCGGUUGCUAUUAAUGAUGAUAGUGGUUUGUAUGGUUCUAUUUUAGAUUUUUUUCCAGUUUAAUACUACUAUUUUAGUUAUAAAGGAGUCAUCAAUUUUUGUAUAUUGAAAUUCCAUUGGGUGCAACAUAAAAAAUUCUUCAUAUUGGUAAAAAGAGCAUAAUUGUAAAAUUUACUCGUGAUAUAUGUAUGAAGACAUACAGAUGAAUAAGGGUUCACUUGUCCUUAUAUGUUUCUCCAUUUUCUAGAGAGUAUCUAUUUUUUGAGAUUGAUUUUUCUUCUUACAAUGACAACUAAUGACUCAUGAGAAAUUUUUCAUGCUUCAAUUAAGAAAUUUUGAUAUGUAUAAUAAUUGGGAAUGGAGUCCAAGAGUAGAUAAAUAGUUUUUAAUGAGCAAUUUUUAAUUCUAAUUACCAAUACUAUUAAAAUGUAAUUAAUUGGAGUGUUUUAUUUCUUGUAAUUAGUGCCAUAUUAAAAUACAAUAAUUCUAAUUAAAAGACAUGAGGGUAAUUUAGGGAUAACAAAAACUAAGAUAAAACCGUGCUUACACUUGCACUCCCUAAAACCAACAUUCAUACUUUUUAUAUAGUAAUGACAAUUAUUCUAAUUACCAAUACUAUUGAAAUGUAAUCAAUUGGAGUGUUUUAUUUUUUUUAAUUAGUGCCAUAUUAAAAUGCAAUAAUUCUAAUUAAAAGACAUGAGGGUAAUUUAGGGAUAACAAAAACUAAGAUAAAAAAGUGCUUACACUUGCACUUCCUAAAACCAACAUUCAUACUUUUUAUAUAGUGAUGAUAUUGGUGUUUCAUGGAGAUGGGUGCCACAGACUCACAACAACUGAUUAUUGAGUGGGGAAUCUCGGAUAAAUGCUUUGAGUAUAUAGCUGAUGUAAAGGUGGACUUUGCCACUGUGUAAGUACUGAUCCUUUCUAUCAAUAAAAAUGAACAAGUUUUGCUCCAAAAAAAAAAAAAGAAAACAAAAGAGCCAAUCCAUACAACCAAAGAGAUGCAGAGACUAUGAAGGUGCUCAAUUAGAAAGUAGGAGGAAAACUAAUAGUUGUUGUUGUAAUUGCAACUUUACAUAUCAUCUGAACAUCAGAUUAUGUCUAGAAAAGGGAAGCACGAAAAAUGUAGAUAUCUCUGGUCAAUAGUUAAAGAUACUACAACAGUUUUUGGCAACUAAGUAGAAGCUAAUUUCAGAAACGAUGAGUCUGAGACAGAAUAGCAAAUUCACUACAAUAAUCAGUGAAUUAUUAGUACUGCCACAAAUCAUGACUAAAACUGCUAUAGCUGAUUGACAGUUUGAAGGCACCAUAUUUGCAACAAGAAAUCAAGAAGCUUUGGCCAGCAGAGACAAAGGAAGUGAAAAAGGCAGUGCCAUGAUGAAAUUCAAGAAAGGAUUAUCCAAAGAAAAGGCGGUAAUUAGGAGCCGUCAAAAUGUCUGUCUGAGCUUUAAGCCUACUGUCACUGCAAAACAGAAAUACUAGAAUCGGGACACCACAUAGCAAAUCAUAAGGCUUAACUGGAAAUUGCAUGACAUUAAUGUUUAGCAAUUAUUCAGAAAGCUAAUUCAGUAUUUUUUUUUUCGCUGUUCUUUUCUAACCUAAAUUAGUAAGCAGAUAUCAAAUCUUCCUGCUCAGUCUACAAGUACCAGUAGUGCCAUAGACAUUACACCCGUUUGUGUUUGAAACACUGAGAAAAGUGUUGUUCUAUAACAAUAUAGUUAUAAUAUGCGGCACCAACAAGAAUGAAAGGCAGAGACAGGUCCAGACAGAGUUGCCAUGAAUGCGAACUCUUUCAGACCUGCAAGAUACAAACGUCUUAAACAUGACAAUUUUUUAAGGUUUUAGUUAACUCAUUGCAUAUUGAAGUGGUUAAAACCCAACUAUUAAGUAGUGGAAGAAGAUUAUCGGUACUGUAAAUUAUCAAACCACUAAUUUCACAACCAAGGGCAGUGAGAGUUCCCUCAAUUGUCCGUUCCGAUUUAUACCGAGGAGAAUCAGUAGAAUCCCAUCAUUCAAGAGACACGAUAGAGAAUGCCAAUAACCGGGUAAUUUGGAGCAAGAUGACAAUUACAUAUUCAAGAGGUGAAAGUUUAGAGCAAGCAUUUCCACUUGCUCCCUUCAGCAAUCAUAGCGUACAACUGGAAGCAGCAGACAUCUGGUAAAAGUAAACUGCUAGUUUUUAUUUAAAACAAAGAAUUUUGUACCGUAGACGUAAAUACAAAAAAGUUCUCAGCUUUGACAUUGUGCUUGAUUCUCCACAUCAAAAAAUCUGCUCUUGAAUAUCUGUAUUCCAUAAUUGAAUUUUAUAUGUGGUUAGUGACAGUGUUUUCUUCCCUGAACAAAGCAUUCAACAAACUAAAGUUUAACAGUUGCAUAAUUUCCCAAAUUGCCAAUUUACUUCCAUAAUUCACAGCUUAUAAGAUAGCACAAUUAACGAUUGAGAUCUAUGUGGUGGAACUCAGAAAAUGAGCCAUUAAGUCACAGCAAAAUCCGCAUAUAACUGCAACCAAAACACCAGCUAGUUCUAAUUUCUAACGACGAGCAGUAUGCCAGAGAUAGCUAAUUCAGUUACAAGUAAAUCAGCCCCUCAUUAUUGUGACUACAAAUUGCUGAAUCAUUUGGACAGUUCAAGGUGGAUUCACUAAGAGCAGCAAGUUGCAACAAGUAGACUUGACUAGCUU
Molecule: long non-coding RNA, 22644 nt
Filed under: Coffea arabica (coffee)
Lineage: Eukaryota; Viridiplantae; Streptophyta; Magnoliopsida; Gentianales; Rubiaceae
Description: long non-coding RNA (CARA_LNC005656)
Source: RNAcentral